This 890-nucleotide ribosomal RNA is filed under the name uncultured Arthrobacter sp. Its description in RNAcentral is "bacterial SSU rRNA". It matches the Rfam family "Bacterial small subunit ribosomal RNA", at positions 8 to 916 of the family's 1533-position model. The record is from RNAcentral. Lineage: Bacteria; Bacillati; Actinomycetota; Actinomycetes; Micrococcales; Micrococcaceae.
AGAGUUUGAUCAUGGCUCAGGGAGGACCUGAUAAGGCACAUGCUGUCGAACGAUGCAUCUCCAGCUUGACAUGGGGGGAUUAGUGGCGAACGGGUGAGUAACACGUGAGUAACCUGCCCUUGACUCUGGGAUAAGCCUGGGAAACUGGGUCUAAUACUGGAUACGACCUUCCAUCGCAUGGUGGUUGGUGGAAAGCUUUUGUGGUUUUGGAUGGGCCCGCGGCCUAUCAGCUUGUUGGUGGGGUAAUGGCCUACCAAGGCGACGACGGGUAGCCGGCCUGAGAGGGUGGACGGCCACACUGGGACUGAGACACGGCCCAGACUCCUACGGGAGGCAGCAGUGGGGAAUAUUGCACAAUGGGCGCAAGCCUGAUGCAGCGACGCCGCGUGAGGGAUGAAGGCCUUCGGGUUGUAAACCUCUUUCAGUAGGGAAGAAGCGAAAGUGACGGUACCUGCAGAAGAAGCGCCGGCUAACUACGUGCCAGCAGCCGCGGUAAUACGUAGGGCGCAAGCGUUAUCCGGAUUAUUGGGCGUAAAGAGCUCGUAGGCGGUUUGUCGCGUCUGCCGUGAAAGUCCGGGGCUUAACCCCGGAUCUGCGGUGGGUACGGGCAGACUUGAGUGAUGUAGGGGAGACUGGAAUUCCUGGUGUAGCGGUGAAAUGCGCAGAUAUCAGGAGGAACACCGAUGGCGAAGGCAGGUCUCUGGGCAUUAACUGACGCUGAGGAGCGAAAGCAUGGGGAGCGAACAGGAUUAGAUACCCUGGUAGUCCAUGCCGUAAACGUUGGGCACUAGGUGUGGGGGACAUUCCACGUUUUCCGCGCCGUAGCUAACGCAUUAAGUGCCCCGCCUGGGGAGUACGGCCGCAAGGCUAAAACUCAAAGGAAUUGACGG